AAGACCUUGAGAAUGAUUUUUACAUUUUCCCACAACAUCCAUUUAUCGUCUCCUCACAACAAUUCCCCUAAUGCAGGGUAGUGUUUAUCGCAAUUAUAAAAACCUGAAACAAAAAGUAGCGUCCACCAUGUCUAAAGCGGAGGAAGUUAGAAUGGCUUUCAGUCUUAUGGAAGUCAAUUUCCUUGCCAAGGACUGAAACAGGCCAAGGACAGCACCCUCCUGUAAGAACUCUAAACAGACACUUUGUAAAACACACAAAUCACAUGUCCACAUACACUCUUUAUCAUAUGCCAAUCAUAAUAAUUUAGGUGUGUACUGGGUAAAAAGAUAAAGAAAAUAACAGGUAUGUCCUUGACUAUGUAUUUAAUUGGUAGACUAAAUGAUUCUGUUGUACUGUGGCAAAUGUUCCAAAUAUAAGCAAAGUCUAGGUAUGCGGCAACUGCAAAACGAAGCCAAAACUUAAGAAAAUAAAUAAAAAAUGUUUUAAUAGGUCAAACUAAGAAGGGAAAGUGCUAAUUGAGACGGUUUCUGAGUUUGAGCCUAAAACUUCUCAACAGACACUCAAUAGACAGAUAUAGGGCAAGUGCUACAGGCUGGUGCCAUCACAAGGCCUAAUAAAAAGCUUUAAGUUACACCAAAAUAUUGUAAGAAUUCUAGGUGCAAUAGUUAAUGCACAGACUUUUCCCUAGAAGUCCCUAGAAACGCCAUUCUGUGAAGACCGACCCCUACUCUGCCUCUGAAUGGCCUUGACCCUGAUGUUCUGAUAAACUAAACUGAGUGUGUGUGUGUGUGUGUGUGUGUGUGUGUGUGUGUGUGUGUGUGUGUGUGUGAGAGAGAAACCAUGCCCUGUAAUCCUACGCGAGCGUCAUCGCUGCCUUCAAACAUACAGGUAAUUCAAUGAUCAACGUGUAUGGGAACUGACAAAAAAUGGUAACGCUUAAAAUGUGACCAAAAGGUCAGGUGAAAACUUGAAAUGAAAGUUAGGCACGUCACAAGCCGCACUCAUUACAAUUAUACUGCCCUCCACUUGAGUAUCUCCACCCAACCUCGGCAACACCUUUGCGAAGGUGUGCAAAUGCCCUGUUGUUGUUACGCUAAGUAUGUCCGGUUUACUUGCAUACAGAGUUAAACUAUUAUUUAUGUUUUAUUCUUUCUUCUUUAAAUGCCUACAUUUUGUAUUACCAUUCAUUUCUGGAAACUCCUGGUUGGGAACCAUAACUAUAACAUAGUUAUAAAGGAGGAAGACAUUUUUACUGAUAUUUUUUUUUAUAUACUUUAAAAUCUUAUUUUAGCAAAUUCACACAGGCACAUUAUAAAUCAGACUAAAUAUUUUCAGAAUGAAGCUAAUGUUAUAAGAGGUAGCCUUAUUUAAGAUGAAAAACAUAAUGGUGUAACAUUAGCCUUUGUUUAAUUUAGCUGGCUAGCUAGUUAACAUUUGCUUCAUCCCUUCAUCGACUACUAUCAGCUACCAUAGUCAACGGCAUCGUUGGCGCCAUUCAUUUGCCUUUCACUGUUUCUUACAGAAGGCAUUCGCAACUCAUUAUAAUUCCCUUUACGUACUUUAUUUUUGAAGCAGUCCGAUAUGACAAAUGAAUAUCCAAAAUAUCGGCCAAAUCCUAAAACAUUAGAUUAUCGUUUGUCCGGCUAUCAGCCAUCCUUAGCCAUUAGAUUUCGGUAUCGCCCCUAAAUAAUGUAUAUUGGUCGAUCCCUAAUCUCAAGUACAUGACAAUUUGUGCUCUGCAAGAUUUCUACUUUUAAAACAAUGCACCAAUCAGGCUAAUCCGUCCCACUAAAACGUGUCUCAGUUUCAUUGACUGCACAGGAAAACCAGUGGCUUUUACUGGAGGUGGCUUUUCAGUUCAUUUUGAGAGCAGUCAUUUAGUCAAGGCCUACUACUGGAAGGCUUAAAGGGGAUCAAUGCCCUAAUGAGUUCAGGAGUGAGGUUUGGGUGAGCCUCUGAAACAGUAUAUAAGUUUCUGUGAGCUGGACAUUACUGUUGAGAAGGGAGUUCCUAUGCCCAUUCAUGCCAUGCCUUGGCACACACUAAUAGUUGCCAACCAUAGAGCAUUCUGCUUGCCACAUAAUGAUGAUGAUGACGCCGAUAAUGUAGCAUUAGCUUCAGACCAGCAGAAUGGACAAAGCAUAGACACAGCCAACUCCCACAUGACUCCUGUCUCAUUGGCCACACAGUACACACCAGCCAGAGGCUACUCUCUGGGUUCAGAUUCCACAGUCCAUGACAUGUGCUUUAUUUUGGAAACAGAAUAGAAACGGUGACUUUCAACUCUUCAUAAGCAUCCUAAUAAGAAAGCUCAACAGUACACACCAAAAAGCAACACUGUGUAAAUAACACUGCUCAGAUCAACACUGUGUGAAUAACAGCUUGAUCAAAGAUCAUGGAAACCAUCGAAAACCUCUAAUUGUCACAUUGCUACAUUUAGUUUAAUCUGAUAAUGUGUCAAGUGGGCUUCAAACGGUUUCAUCUUUCAAAUUAAGAUUUAAAGAAAAGGAAAAAACAAAAUAACAAUUACAGACUUUACAGAAAAGGCCUGCAAGCUCCAUAAUGUCUACAAGAGACUGGUGUAAAUUCUGUACAUAUGCUAACAUGCUAAUGCUAGACAAGAAAAGUGAGAGCCUGGGACCACCACAACUUUUCCGUUACUCCACAAUUAGGUGUUCACCCCACAAUAAUAGUGUCAUCAUUGUCAUGUUGUCACACCCAUGGAAGAAAAAAAAGUUUUGCCAGGGUGAUUCAGUAUUCAACAGCUACGAAAAUGACCAACACUGCGCUGUAUGUGGGCCAAUCCACAGGAGGGGAAAGUAAAGCUCCUAUUGUUAGCCUGACCAAAAUGACAGUGAGCUGUGGCACUGAUGUUACUGCUUUAAUAAACAACAGGAAAGAACAAAAGGAGUGAUUGUGAAGCUCCAUUAUAGAAUUGACAUACCAUCCCUCCUAACUGAUACUUUCCCAACCCCCACCCCCACUACUGCUGCAGCUGUGCAAAGUGAUGCUCUUGGGAAUAAGUGUGUGUGUCAGUGUGUGUGUGCGUGUGUCAGUAUGUGUGUGUGUGUGUGCCAGUGUGUGUGUGUCA
This is a long non-coding RNA of Clupea harengus (Atlantic herring), 3092 nucleotides long. The record is from Ensembl. NCBI's taxonomy places the organism in Eukaryota, Metazoa, Chordata, Actinopteri, Clupeiformes, Clupeidae.